GACGUCGUAUAUCGACGUCAUAAACACCAAAGUUGAUCGUGUUUAUGACGUCGAAUAUCGACGUCAUAAACACCAAAGUUGAACGUGUUUAUGACGUCGAAUAUCGACGUC
Paramuricea clavata is the source of this 111-nucleotide non-coding RNA. The record is from the annotation of a GenBank genome assembly. Lineage: Eukaryota; Metazoa; Cnidaria; Anthozoa; Malacalcyonacea; Plexauridae.